RNAcentral lists this unclassified non-coding RNA (348 nucleotides) under soil metagenome. Its description in RNAcentral is "partial contains 5.8S ribosomal RNA, internal transcribed spacer 2, and large subunit ribosomal RNA". The stretch from base 1 to 120 matches the Rfam family "5.8S ribosomal RNA", at positions 35 to 154 of the family's 154-position model. The record is from RNAcentral.
GAUGAAGAACGUAGCGAAAUGCGAUAAGUAAUGUGAAUUGCAGAAUUCAGUGAAUCAUCGAAUCUUUGAACGCACAUUGCGCCCGCUAGUAUUCUGGCGGGCAUGCCUGUCCGAGCGUCAUUUCAACCCUCAGGGCCCGUUCGCGGGAACUGGUGUUGGGGAUCGGCCUCCCCCCGGAGGCCGGCCCCGAAAUGCAGUGGCGGCUCUACCGCGAUCUCCUCUGUGUAGUAGCGAUACCUCGCAGCUGGAUAGUGGUGGUGCCACGCCGUAAAAUCCCAACUUUACCAAGGUUGACCUCGGAUCAGGUAGGAAUACCCGCUGAACUUAAGCAUAUCAAUAAGCGGAGGA